AACGGCCGCGGUAUUUUGACCGUGCAAAGGUAGCGCAAUCACUUGUCUUUUAAAUAGAGACCUGUAUGAAUGGCAUAACGAGGGCUUAACUGUCUCCUUUUUCCUAUCAAUGAAAUUGAUCUCCCCGUGCAGAAGCGGGGAUUAAAACAUAAGACGAGAAGACCCUAUGGAGCUUUAGUCGCAAGAACAGAACAUGUCAAUUCUUAAAAUCAAAAUAUGAAAUUAAUUGAACCCUGCUCUAAUGUCUUUGGUUGGGGCGACCACGGAGUAUAAAAAAACCUCCGCGAGGAAUGAAGAUACCUCUUCCCAUCUAAGGGUGUCAACCCUAAGAACCAGAAUUUCUGACCACUCUGAUCCGGCAAAGCCGAUCAACGAACCGAGUUACCCUAGGGAUAACAGCGCAAUCCUCUUCUAGAGUCCAUAUCGACAAGAAGGUUUACGACCUCGAUGUUGGAUCAGGACAUCCUAAU
Molecule: ribosomal RNA, 470 nt
Filed under: Aphyosemion celiae winifredae
Lineage: Eukaryota; Metazoa; Chordata; Actinopteri; Cyprinodontiformes; Nothobranchiidae
Description: partial 16S ribosomal RNA
Rfam family: Bacterial large subunit ribosomal RNA
Source: RNAcentral